UUCCUAAAGCUUGCGUGCAGGAUACUUCUACUAAGUAAGAAACAAAUUCAAUUUUUAAAUAAUUAAUUAGUGGAUUUGUGAAGCCUGGGUUAUUGUAUUCUGAGUUCUAAACCCUUUUUCAUCGCUUUCCUUUUCUGCCCGUUAAAUAAAUAAAAAAAUAAUAAUAAAAUGGUCCUCAAUGCUUAUUUACUUACCAUGAUGCCCCUACUUCCUUGCUAAAACUACUAGGAAGCCACUAGCUUUUGUUGGCUUAGAAGCUGCCUGAUGGGAAUCGGACGCAUCGAAGAGGCCACCGGACGUGUUAUUAUAUCCGUGUUAUUUCUUUGCCACGCUGUCAUACAACUGGUUCUGGAUAUAAGUACAAAAUUAUUCUUUAGCUCUUCGGUUUCCACUUCAUUGUUACUUUUUAGCGACCAAAGUGAUCCUGUGUUUUUUCUCUGCCUGUUUCUAAAAUAAUUACAAUAGAGGAGGACAUCCUUGUCCUUAGAAAAGAAUUGUGCUUUAUCAGGGGCUUUACUUUUUUAAAUGUACACUACUUGUCUGAUAAAACUAUAAACACCGCAUAGAAAAACACAGAGACGAGGCAGCGUUCUUAUUGAAAUCAGGGGUUUAUCUAUCAAACCGAACCUCACUCGAUGUGCGACACGGCAAGAUGCACGUGACAUAGUGCCGUACCUCGAGGAACCAGUGUUACAAAAAAAAUCAAAAAUUCUCCACCGUCGGAUCAGGAUCCUACGGUGACCAAGGCUCUUCAUCCUCGAAAAUUCGAAGAUGAUGUGGUCGGAUAGGCAAUGGGAAAAGGCGGCCCCAGACGUCGCACGCGGUCCUUUUUGACUGAUGGAAAAAGGAGGGAGGUAAAAAGUCAACAAGCGAGCUUCUGUUCACACCCGACGAUGGUUACCGUCUAGAAUUUGAUCGCAGCCACUUACCGGGGAUCAGAUGGUAGAUGAUACUGGAGGAUUAAAA
Molecule: long non-coding RNA, 966 nt
Filed under: Phoenix dactylifera (date palm)
Lineage: Eukaryota; Viridiplantae; Streptophyta; Magnoliopsida; Arecales; Arecaceae
Description: long non-coding RNA (PDAC_LNC016537)
Source: RNAcentral